This 513-nucleotide ribosomal RNA is filed under the name uncultured bacterium. Its description in RNAcentral is "partial 16S ribosomal RNA". It matches the Rfam family "Bacterial small subunit ribosomal RNA", at positions 28 to 523 of the family's 1533-position model. The record is from RNAcentral.
GAUGAACGCUGGCGGCGUGCCUAAUACAUGCAAGUCGAGCGAACAGACGAGGAGCUUGCUCCUCUGACGUUAGCGGUGGACGGGUGAGUAACACGUGGAUAACCUACCUAUAAGACUGGGAUAACUUCGGGAAACCGGAGCUAAUACCGGAUAACAUGUUGAACCGCAUGGUUCAACAGUGAAAGACGGUCUUGCUGUCACUUAUAGAUGGAUCCGCGCCGCAUUAGCUAGUUGGUAAGGUAACGGCUUACCAAGGCAACGAUGCGUAGCCGACAUGGGAGGGUGAUCGGCCACACUGGAACUGAGACACGGUCCAGACUCCUACGGGAGGCAGCAGUAGGGAAGCUUCCGCAAUGGGCGAAAGCCUGACGGAGCAACGCCGCGUGAGUGAAGAAGGUCUUCGGAUCGUAGAACUCUGUUAUUAGGGAAGAACAAAUGUGUAAGUAACUAUGCACGUCUUGACGGUACCUAAUCAGAAAGCCACGGCUAACUACGUGCCAGCCGCCGCUGUAA